Molecule: small nucleolar RNA, 104 nt
Organism: Talpa occidentalis (Iberian mole)
Lineage: Eukaryota; Metazoa; Chordata; Mammalia; Eulipotyphla; Talpidae
Product: small nucleolar RNA U13
Exons: 1
Source: RefSeq, a predicted model, not a curated record
AUUUUAUUCUGGUUCAUGAGCAUGAAGGCCGGGUGUCCACGCCAUUGUGUGAGAUGUGCCUCCCUUAAACCUUGCUACCACGCCUGCACGUUACCAUUCUGUUU